AACACGUAAAGAACCUGCCCUCAGGUCUGGGAUAACCACGAGAAAUCGGGGCUAAUACCGGAUGGGUCAUCGGACCGCAUGGUCCGAGGAUGAAAGACGCUUCGGCGUCGCCUGGGGAUGGCUUUGCGGUGCAUUAGCUAGUUGGUGGGGUAAUGGCCCACCAAGGCGACGAUGCAUAGCCGACCUGAGAGGGUGAUCGGCCACACUGGGACUGAGACACGGCCCAGACUCCUACGGGAGGCAGCAGUAGGGAAUCCUCCACAAUGGACGAAAGUCUGAUGGAGCAACGCCGCGUGAACGAUGAAGGCCUUCGGGUCGUAAAGUUCUGUUGUAAGGGAAGAACAAGUGCCGCAGGCAAUGGCGGCACCUUGACGGUACCUUGCGAGAAAGCCACGGCUAACUACGUGCCAGCAGCCGCGGUAAUACGUAGGUGGCAAGCGUUGUCCGGAAUUAUUGGGCGUAAAGCGCGCGCAGGCGGCCUCUUAAGUCUGAUGUGAAAGCCCCCGGCUCAACCGGGGAGGGCCAUUGGAAACUGGGAGGCUUGAGUAUAGGAGAGAAGAGUGGAAUUCCACGUGUAGCGGUGAAAUGCGUAGAGAUGUGGAGG
RNAcentral lists this ribosomal RNA (604 nucleotides) under uncultured bacterium. Its description in RNAcentral is "bacterial SSU rRNA". It matches the Rfam family "Bacterial small subunit ribosomal RNA", at positions 112 to 704 of the family's 1533-position model. The record is from RNAcentral.